This 780-nucleotide ribosomal RNA is filed under the name uncultured bacterium. RNAcentral describes it as "bacterial SSU rRNA". It matches the Rfam family "Bacterial small subunit ribosomal RNA", at positions 8 to 796 of the family's 1533-position model. The record is from RNAcentral.
AGAGUUUGAUCCUGGCUCAGGAUGAACGCUAGCGGCAGGCUAAUACAUGCAAGUCGAACGGUGUAGUAAUACACAGUGGCGCACGGGUGCGUAACACGUAGGUAACCUACCUUUUACUGGGGCAUAACGAUGGGAAACCAUCGCUAAUUCCGCAUGAGACAGUAGCUUGGCAUCAAGCAGUUGUUAAAGAUUGAUUGGUAAAAGAUGGGCCUGCGGCUGAUUAGCUAGUUGGCGGUGUAACGGACCACCAAGGCAAUGAUCAGUAGGGGUUCUGAGAGGAAGAUCCCCCACACUGGCACUGAGAUACGGGCCAGACUCCUACGGGAGGCAGCAGUAGGGAAUAUUGGGCAAUGGCGGAAACGCUGACCCAGCCAUGCCGCGUGCAGGAAGAAGGCGCUCAGCGUUGUAAACUGCUUUUGCCGGGGAAGAAUGGAAGCUACGUGUAGCUUACUCGACGGUACCUGGUGAAUAAGCACCGGCUAACUCCGUGCCAGCAGCCGCGGUAAUACGGAGGGUGCAAGCGUUGUCCGGAUUUAUUGGGUUUAAAGGGUGCGUAGGUGGCUUUUUAAGUCCGGGGUGAAAGGCAGUGGCUCAACCACUUGCAGGGCCCUGGAUACUGGGAGGCUCGAGUGCGCGUGAGGCCGGUGGAACGGGUGGUGUAGCGGUGAAAUGCAUAGAUACCAUCCAGAACACCGAUUGCGGAGGCAGCCNNCUAACGCGCAACUGACACUGAGGCACGAAAGCGUGGGGAGCAAACAGGAUUAGAUACCCUAGUAGUCC